RNAcentral lists this ribosomal RNA (523 nucleotides) under Rahnella aquatilis. Its description in RNAcentral is "bacterial SSU rRNA". It matches the Rfam family "Bacterial small subunit ribosomal RNA", at positions 568 to 1116 of the family's 1533-position model. The record is from RNAcentral. Lineage: Bacteria; Pseudomonadati; Pseudomonadota; Gammaproteobacteria; Enterobacterales; Yersiniaceae.
CACGCAGCGGUUGUUAGUCAAAGAGAAUCCCAUACUUACGUGGAACUCAUUUAUACAGCAACGAGAGUUUGUAGAGGGGGUAGAUUGCAGUGUAGGGUGGAAUAUUAGAAUAUGAGGAAGACGGUGAAGAAGGGGCACCCUGGACAAAGCUGAGCGUCAGGGAGAAAGGUGGGGAGCAGACAGGAUUAGAUACCCUGGUAGUCCACGCUGUAAACGAUGUCGACUUGGAGGUUGUGCCCAUGAGGCGUGACUUCCGGAGCUAACGUAUUAAGUCGACCGCCUGGGGAGUGCGGCCGCAAGGUUAAAACUCAAAUGAAUUGACGGGGGCCCGCACAAGCGGUGGAGCAUGUGGUUUAAUUCGAUGCAACGAGAAGAACCUUACCUACUCUUGACAUCCACGGAAUUCGCCAGAGAUGGCUUAGGCCUUCGGGAACCGUGAGACAGGUGCUGCAUGGCUGUCGUCAGCUCGUGUUGUGAAAUGUUGGGUUAAGUCCCGCAACGAGCGCAACCCUUAUCCUUUGUU